GGGCCCAACCUUCUGGCGAUCUCUUAAAAUAAAGCCUCAUGUCAUAAUGUCUCCACGUUUUUCAAAGAAAAACGUGCGUUUCAAAGUGCCAUGGAUUUAAAAAAAUAUGGAUUUACUUAAAAAUUAUGGGUUUUAAAAAAGGCUUUAAAAGGAAAUAACUAAAAAGCUUUUCCAGUGAUUUAAGAUGAUACCGGGGAAGGUUUUCCGGUUUAUCCCGGAGGGCUUGUAGCUCAGUUGGUUAGAGCGCGCGCUUGAUAAGCGUGAGGUCGGAGGUUCAAGUCCUCCCAGGCCCACCAAUUUAUGCUCGUUUUUUGCUUAUCCAAGAGUAUGAAGCUUAAGCGUAUUAAAGCCUCUUCAAUCUUUGUUUAUUUUAAAGAUUUAAUUUUAUCAUUCAGAGAUUAUUUGUUAAAUUUAUCCCAUUAAGCUUCCAAAGAGGCUUUGUCCCUUCAGUGGUACAGAUAAAUUUACAUGAUACAAAUCAAAACAGGACAGGUAAUUCAAAUUGAUGAAUUUGGUUAUGGUUGAUUUGAGAGAGCAUUAUUUAGGGGCCGUAGCUCAGCUGGGAGAGCACCUGCUUUGCAAGCAGGG
Molecule: unclassified non-coding RNA, 588 nt
Filed under: uncultured Bartonella sp.
Lineage: Bacteria; Pseudomonadati; Pseudomonadota; Alphaproteobacteria; Hyphomicrobiales; Bartonellaceae
Description: partial 16S-23S ribosomal RNA intergenic spacer
Rfam family: tRNA (bases 220-293)
Source: RNAcentral